RNAcentral lists this long non-coding RNA (436 nucleotides) under Fukomys damarensis (Damara mole-rat). RNAcentral describes it as "lncRNA (ENSFDAG00000026741.1)". The record is from RNAcentral. Lineage: Eukaryota; Metazoa; Chordata; Mammalia; Rodentia; Bathyergidae.
CCCCAGAGUCCACCUCUGUGACUGAGGUGUCAAGACCAGGGAGGAUGACUGACCUCUCUUCACACCUCUGUACUUGGCAGAUUUCAGAUGAGAGUUAGUCCAGAACAUGGUGCAGAAGGACAACUCUUCCUCUGUGUACUGCUGAAGGGCUCCAGUGAUGUCCAUCCCAUAGCAAAAACACUCCCAUCUUUCAGAUUUUGGGGAAUAUAUUAUAAACAUGGUCAUAGAGGCAUCGUUGUCCGCUGACACUUUGACUUUCAUUAGCACGUUCUUCAACAAAUACAUAUUAAACACCACAUAGAAGAAACAAUUUUGGCUGUGCACUGAUCACCUUCUUUUGCCAUGGCAAAGUAGUAGGACAGUAACACUGGAUGGGAAUGACAAGUGUUCACUCAGAUAAGGAAUAUUGACAAUGACAAAUCCUGCAAGUAUUGAC